Molecule: ribosomal RNA, 1781 nt
Filed under: Verticillium dahliae
Lineage: Eukaryota; Fungi; Ascomycota; Sordariomycetes; Glomerellales; Plectosphaerellaceae
Description: SSU rRNA
Rfam family: Eukaryotic small subunit ribosomal RNA
Source: RNAcentral
CCUGGUUGAUUCUGCCAGUAGUCAUAUGCUUGUCUCAAAGAUUAAGCCAUGCAUGUCUAAGUAUAAGCAAUUACAAAGCGAAACUGCGAAUGGCUCAUUAUAUAAGUUAUCGUUUAUUUGAUAGUACCUUACUACAUGGAUAACCGUGGUAAUUCUAGAGCUAAUACAUGCUGAAAAUCCCGACUUCGGAAGGGAUGUAUUUAUUAGAUACAAAACCAAUGCCCUUCGGGCUCUCUUGGUGAUUCAUGAUAACUUCUCGAAUCGCACGGCCCCGCGCCGGCGAUGGUUCAUUCAAAUUUCUUCCCUAUCAACUUUCGAUGCUACGGUAUUGUCCUAGCAUGGUUGCAACGGGUGACGGAGGGUUAGGGCUCGACCCCGGAGAAGGAGCCUGAGAAACGGCUACUACAUCCAAGGAAGGCAGCAGGCGCGCAAAUUACCCAAUCCCGACUCGGGGAGGUAGUGACGAUAAAUACCGAUACAGGGCUCUUUUGGGUCCUGUAAUUGGAAUGAGUACAAUUCAAAUCCCUUAACGAGGAACAAUUGGAGGGCAAGUCUGGUGCCAGCAGCCGCGGUAAUUCCAGCUCCAAUAGCGUAUAUUAAAGUUGUUGUGGUUAAAAAGCUCGUAGUAGAAGCUCGCCUCCGGUCGGCCGGUCCGCCUCACCGCGUGCACUGGUUCGGCCGGGGCUUCACCUUCUGCGGAACCGCAUCUCCUUCACUGGGGUGUCGGGGAAACAGGACGUUUACUUUGAAAAAAUUAGAGUGCUCCAGGCAGGCCUAUGCUCGAAUACAUUAGCAUGGAAUAAUGGAAUAGGACGUGUGGUCUUAUUUCGUUGGUUUCUAGGACCGCCGUAAUGAUUAAUAGGGACAGUCGGGGGCAUCAGUAUUCAAUCGUCAGAGGUGAAAUUCUUGGAUCGAUUGAAGACUAACUACUGCGAAAGCAUUUGCCAAGGAUGUUUUCAUUUAUCAGGAACGAAAGUUAGGGGAUCGAAGACGAUCAGAUACCGUCGUAGUCUUAACCAUAAACUAUGCCGACUAGGGAUCGGACGGUGUUAUUUCUUGACCCGUUCGGCACCUUACGAGAAAUCAAAGUGCUUGGGCUCCAGGGGGAGUAUGGUCGCAAGGCUGAAACUUAAAGAAAUUGACGGAAGGGCACCACCAGGGUGGAGCCUGCGGCUUAAUUUGACUCAACACGGGAAACUCACCAGGUCCAGACACAACGAGGAUUGACAGAUGAGAGCUCUUUCUUGAUUUUGUGGUGGUGGUGCAUGGCCGUUCUUAGUUGGUGGAGUGAUUUGUCUGCUUAAUUGCGAUAACGAACGAGACCUUAACCUGCUAAAUAGUCCGUAUUACCCCGGUAGUACGCCGACUUCUUAGAGGGACUAUCGGCUCAAGCCGAUGGAAGUUUGAGGCAAUAACAGGUCUGUGAUGCCCUUAGAUGUUCUGGGCCGCACGCGCGUUACACUGACGGGGCCAGCGAGUACUGCCUUGGCCGAAAGGUCCGGGUAAUCUUGUGAAACCCCGUCGUGCUGGGGAUAGAGCAUUGCAAUUAUUGCUCUUCAACGAGGAAUCCCUAGUAAGCGCAAGUCAUCAGCUUGCGUUGAUUACGUCCCUGCCCUUUGUACACACGCCCGUCGCUACUACCGAUUGAAUGGCUCAGUGAGGCUUUCGGACUGGUCCGGAGUGGGGGGCGACCCCCGUUCUGGACCGGAAAGUUAUCCGAACUCGGUCAUUUAGAGGAAGUAAAAGUCGUAACAAGGUCUCCGUUGGUGAACCAGCGGAGG